UCUCGAUCUCUUAGCUCGAUCUCCAUUGAUGCAAACUCCAUUAUCUACUCCAUUAUUACACACACAAAACGCGUGUGGUGAGCCUCUCACUAUAAAUAUAAAAACCUCAAAGCCAAACGUUAGCAUUUCAUUCCACAAGUCUAAAAACAAAAGCAUCCGCUGUUUCCAUUCGUUAAACACAAACGGCCAAAACAAAAACCCUUCCUUGCCGAUCUUCUCUGCCACCAAGUCAGUUUAGAGACACAAGAGAAUGAUCGUUACAUCGUUUGAAGAUUCUUUUAAUAACUGUUUGGAAUAAGCCGAUACAGAAGGAGAGAGGACGAUAGAGAGACGUUGCGAUACAUAGGCUGCGUUCACAAAUCAUAGUGAUUGAGGCAUUGCAUUAGAACGAGUACCAAAAAUUUUGAAAGAAACCCAGUGACGCUUGAAAGAACAGGGGCCUGCCUUCACUAGCCUGCCACCACUGGUCAGCCAGCGAAACUACUACCGUUGCUAAGGAAAUUUUGCAUGCAGGUUACUCAUAUACAGUCAACGGAUAAUUUUGAUAGAGGAGGUGUUUGUGGGUCUUGGUGUAAUAAUUGAUGGUAGUGGAAUACCUAUAAUGCCAAAAGUUGAUCUAAAAUUUCCCACGGCCAAGGUGGGAUGCAAAAUUGGGUGUGGAUACAUAGCUUGAGGUCAUUCACAGCGAAAGCUCCUACCUAUGCCUUGGAAUUUUUUUAAGGGCAUGCUCUGGAAAGUUUUUCUUAGACAAUCUGACAACAUUCUUAAAUUUCCUGGAUCAAUGGUCUACAUUUAGGCGAAACUGAAUGAAUUUUUUUAUCCUGUAUUUCUUUGUUUGUUGCUCUACAUUUUCCUUUGGUGUAGAAUUUUAUGAGACUAUUUAUUACUGUAGUUUGAUGCAUUUCAUGGGUUAAUACUACAGGAUUUGAGUAUCAUAAUAUCUUAAUUAUUAAUUAUUGUUUGUCGAA
This is a long non-coding RNA of Quercus robur (English oak), 968 nucleotides long. RefSeq lists it as uncharacterized. The record is from RefSeq and is a predicted model, not a curated record. NCBI's taxonomy places the organism in Eukaryota, Viridiplantae, Streptophyta, Magnoliopsida, Fagales, Fagaceae. The transcript has 7 exons.